Molecule: long non-coding RNA, 3348 nt
Organism: Salvelinus fontinalis (brook trout)
Lineage: Eukaryota; Metazoa; Chordata; Actinopteri; Salmoniformes; Salmonidae
Exons: 2
Source: RefSeq, a predicted model, not a curated record
UAACAUUUUUCGACAGAAACACGAUUUAUCAUAAUAAAUUGUUCCUACUUGAGCUGUUCUUCCAUCAGAAUCUUGGUCAAAGAAUCCUUUCUUGGGUCUAAUCGUCUUUUGGUCGAAAGCUGUCCUCUUGCCAUGUAGAAAUGCACAUUGCGUUCGGCAUGAACUGGAACGGUGCCCAGAGAUUCACAGUAUCUCAGAAAUAAAUGUCCCAAAAUCGCACUAAACGGAUAUAAAUUGCUAUAAAACGCUUUAAAUUAACUACCUUAUGAUGUUUUUAACUCCUAUAAUGAGUAGAAACAUGACCUGAGAAAUAUAACUGGCUACACUAAUGCUUGGAAAAACAGUAGGUCGGUGUCCUCCGCGCGCCUUACGCACCUAGAAAAGAGUUCCUACCUACACGUGUUUUUGUUUUAUAGGGGCUGUGAUUGGGCAAUCGAUACCAUUCAAAGCGUCAUCACGUAAAGGCAUCCAGGGGAAGACGUAAGCAGUGUCCGUAUACUCAUAGCAAUAACAGUGGCCUUAAAACUGACUCCAGAACAGGGGCCAAAAUGUGUGAAAUCUGACUCCAUGUCAGGGAAAUUGCUGUAGAAUGAGUUCUGUUCCACUCAGAGACAAAAUUUCAACGGCUAUAGAAACUAUAGACUGUUUUCUAUCCAAUAAUAAUAAUAAUAUGCAUAUUGUACGAUCAAGAAUUUUGUAGGAAGCCGUUUCAAAAAUUACACGAUUUCCAUAAAUAGUGACAACAGCACCCCCUAGCCUUAACAGGUUAAAUUACGAGCCUAGUUGGUUUAGCCACAGAAAAAGUCAGCAACCUUCCCGCUAGCCAUGAUUGGCUGAGAUAAUGAGUGGGCUGGACAUGCGGAGAGAUGAGUUUGUUGUGAUGGACUACUUUCUGGAGGACGAUCGUGCCAUGCUGAAUCUCUCUGAAAAUGAAUCAGUCUGCCGUGAAGCUUUCAUCCAUGUAUACGGGUAAAAAUCUAACAUUGAACCUGUUUGGUUAACUUUAUUUAGCUAUGAGAAUCGGUUUAUAUUGCUAGUUAAAGCUUGCUGUUAGCUAGCCAGCAGGAGUUUGAUGGCUGGCUUGCUAACGUUACUCUAUGGUUUGGGAUUUUAGUUAAUUUUUUAGCUAGCAAGCUAGCGAACAUUUAAUGUUACAUGUCUAAACAAAAAACACCAAGUUAAAGCUUGCUGUUAGCUAGCUAACGUUAGCGAAGGUUAGAUGGCUGGCUUGCUAGCUAACAUUGUACCUGUUUAGUUAACUUUAGCUUGCUAUGACAAUCAGUUUGUAUUGCUAGCUAAAGCUUGCUGUUAGCUAGCCAGCUGGAGUUUGAUGGCCGGCUUGCUAACGUUACUCUAUGGUUUUUGGAUUUUAGUAAAUUUUUUAGCUAGCUAGCUAACUAACAUUAAUGUUACAUGCCUAAACAAAAAACACCAAGUUAAAGCUUUCUGUUAGCUAGGUAACAUUAGCGGAGGUUAGGUGGCUGGCUUGCUAGCUAACAUUGAACCUGUUUAGUUACUUUACCUAGCUAUGACAAUCGGAUUGCAUUGCUAGUUAAAGCUUGCUGUUAGCUAGUCAGCUGGAGUUCGAUGGCUGGCUUUCUAACGUUACUCUAUGGAUUGGGAUUUUAGUUAAUUUUUUAGCUAGCUAGCUAACGUUAACGUUACAUGUCUAAACAACAGACCAUAGAUAGAUAGAUAGAUAUACACUCCAAAAAAUAUAUAUAUAAAAAAUAUAUAUUUUUGGGAGGCAUACCCAAUCUGUGUAAAGACAGAUUGACAGGGGUGAGAUAAUUAAUUGUAAUUUAUCUUAAUGUUCUUUUGUUGUUUGCAGGUGCACUAUCCUUCUGACCAUAUGCAGCCAGGUCCCAUCUACUUUUUAACUCCUCGCAAGUGUGGCUUGUUUGGUUUCUGCUGUGAAAGAAUACCAUAACAAUUCAACUACUUGAUUGAUGAAGGCAUGUCAUCCAGCAAAGGCAACAGUGCAGUCAUCAACUACAUGCACCAUUUCUUCACCAACUAUGGAGUGUGUGCUCUGGUAUUGUGCCUGGCGAACCCUGCACAAGCUGCACCACAGUCUGGACCUUCACUUCCUGAUCACAGGCCACACCAAAUUUGCCCUCAACUGGUGCUUCGGCCUCAUAAAGCAGCGCUUCAGAAAGACCAGAGUGAACACUUUGUCUGAGAUUGCUGGUGUUUUGAAGGACAGCACUGUGACAGGGGUCAACAUCCCACAGCUGGUUGGACUGGAGGAUGGUACGGUGCUGACGUAACGGUGCUGAUGGAACGGUGCUGAUGGAACGGUGCUGAUGGAACGCUAUGGCUGGCAACAACACCUGACUCUGUACUUCAGGCCGCUGCCACAGAUCAAGCUGUACCAGCACUUCAGCUUCGAUGCACUGGAGCAGGGUGUUGUUGUUGCCAAGGAGUGUUCGGAAUCAGUCAGGACCAGGUUUCAGCUGCUGCGCAAUGCUUACAUCCUUCCUCCCAUAGAUGGUCUGCCUGUACAAGCACCACCUGGACUGGACACAGCUAGACUAACUUAUCUUUUUGAGAAGAUCAGGGAGUUUUGCUAUGGACAUCACAUGCCCUGCACCAAAGUCAAGGGCAGGACAGAAACAGGCUUUCCAAAUAUAGAUUCCCUUCUUCAUGCGUAGUUCGGACGGACCAGUCAUCAGCACUAUCUGCAGUGCCUCUAUUCAAAUGACUCUCUCCUUACACACACGCCAUACGUUGCUGCUACAAAAUAGAAAUAUCCUGCUGCUCAGACACUUUACCCUUGAUUGUAUGCAUACAACUACCUCGUUUAUCACUAUCGUUAUUGAUAUUGUUCGUGUACAUACUGUAUAAUAUUUUAUUUAUAUUGACACUAUCUAUUCUGAUAUUGCUACUACUAUGCAAGUUACCAUUUGGCUGUACCGUUACACCUUCUGUAGAGACCAUCCACUUAGCAAGACUUAGCAAAAUAUUGAUAUAUAAAAUUAAUAUUGAUAUGUGUGGUCGUAAUAUAGUUUGGGACAGAGCACACAGACUCACUAAACACAAAUGCUUCGUUUGUAAAUUAUGUCUGAGUGUUGGAGCGUGCCCCUGGCUAUCUGUCAAUAAAAAAAAAUUGGGCCAUCCAGUUAAAAAAAUUAGAAAUGAUUUGUACUUUUACUUUUGAUAGUUCAGUACAUUUUAGCAAUUCCAUAUACUUUUACUUUUGAUACUUAAGUACAUUUUAGCAAUUCCAUUUUCUUUGAUACUUAAGUAUUUUUUUAAACCAAAUACUUUUAGACUUUUACUCAAGUAGUAUUUUACUCGGUGACUUUUACUUUAGUCAUUUUCUAUUAAAGUAUCUUUACAUCCGGA